This is a long non-coding RNA of Bos taurus (domestic cattle), 1818 nucleotides long. NCBI's taxonomy places the organism in Eukaryota, Metazoa, Chordata, Mammalia, Artiodactyla, Bovidae. The record is from Ensembl.
UCCCUUGUGUGGAAUUUAAAAAGAAAUGAUACAAAUGAACUUACAAAACAGGAACGACUCACAGACUUAGAGAAUGAACUUGUGGUGGCUGGUGGCGGGGCAGCGGGGGCUAAAUGAAUGUUGUCCGACAGCAGGCUCAGAAUGAUCUGGAAAGUACACCUGUAUUUCCAGGACUGAGCAGGACUGUAUUGGUGGGCUGCUCACCUCCAUCCCCGUGGGGUAAGCAGGGCCCUGGCUGGAGUCCCAUGAGCCAGGAGAACAAGCCCCAGCGAAGGUGACAGGACCACUUGGCUCCCAUGUCUGGGUUUGGUGCUUCCUCCCGUGUGGAGGUACCCCCAUGAGUCACUCUGGUCCCCUCACAGAUUCUAGAUGAGUGGGGAGAGGAGCUGGACACACGUAGCUCAGCGCUUCUCGGCAGCCAGGCUGUGCUUCCCCCCCACCCCCACCCCUAAAGACAAAUAUUUGCCCUGCCCCUUCCUCCCACGUUCUUGAAAAGAACUUGCCCCCAGCUGUUCUCAACUGUGCCGAGUUCUGGAAUCCAGUCUUAGGCAACCCUUUGUGGCUGCACAUCUAAGCCACCUUCUCUGGGAAAUAAUAUUUAAACUCCUUGGUUUCCUCAUCUCUCAAACAUGAGUUACAGUAUCCACCUUGCAGAUUUUUUUUUGAGGAUUAAAUUAGGUAAAACAUAGAAAAUCUUGCACAUUUACAGACGCUUAAAUGUCUGUUUCCCCUUGUCCAUUCUUGCUUUUUUUCUCCUCUCUCUCCCACAUCAACAGUUUUUCUCUCCCAGUCCCUGCCUCUGGCCAAGCAGCUCCUGGCCUCCCGGAGCCCGAGUCCUGGGCCUCCCUCAGGGCUUACAGCCGAGCCGUUUCUGAAGAAGCAGUGGUCAGCACCCCUGGGAGUCUCUCUGCAGGAGGGUUGAUCUGGUUUUUCUCUGUCUGCCAAAGAAUGAGGAAGUGGUUUCGGCAGGCAGCCAGGGAGGAGGAGGGUGGCUCCAUGGCCAGACCCGUGGGAGAGAGGCUAUCAGGCCACCAGCACCACCGUUGUGAUGCCUGGAACAGGGGGCCCUACAACAGUACGAGGCGGCUCCUGACACCAUAGCUGACAGAGGCUGCAGCCCGGGGAGGGGGCAGCUGGGCCGCUUGCUCCCCAGUCAGGUCACCCCAGAACACUCUGCAGGGUGACAGCGCUCUCAGAGGCCAGCAGCUGUAACAAGGGGCCCCGACAAGAUGGCAUGAGUGACAGGUGCCAGUGGGGAUGGAGGGGCAGACAAGAACAGGUAAGAAACCACAAAAGCUCAAGACCCGUUUCAUGUCAGAGUGAGCCAUGGUGAGAGCCAUGGAAACAACCACAGCGAGUUUGGGAGCAGGAUCAGGAAAAGGGAAAAUCGAAGGGUCUCACUGAGGCCAUCCCGUUUGUUCACACAGGCUCACGAGUCCCCGGAGAACUCAGGUCACACACAAUUUAUCCAUCCCCCCAGCAGACACUUCCUCAGUGCCUGUGGGAGCUGGGGAUACAUCAGAGAGCAAGAACACCUCGCCAUCACGGUAGACAGACAACCCAGCCUUCUCCGAGAAGCACCUAUCUGCUCCCGAAGCAUUUGAAAUGCUUGAGACAUCAAAUUUCAUUUCUCACGCAGAAAUUAUUGUGUCCACUGUCAUCCUCAGGCAGUCCUUGGGCUGGUGGGAUGGGAUGACCUCGGGCUUGCUCUCUCCUGUCCACCAUCUCCAACCUCACUUUCCACUCCUUCACAUGAAAGUUCCUGAUGGAUGCAAAAGACCUCUGCCUGCUCCAUCUCACGUCUCUCUCUUCACCAGC